AACGCGAAGAACCUUACCAAGGCUUGACAUAUAGCGAAAAGUGGCAGAGAUGUCAUGUCCGCAAGGGCGCUAUACAGGUGGUGCAUGGUUGUCGUCAGCUCGUGUCGUGAGAUGUUGGGUUAAGUCCCGCAACGAGCGCAACCCUCGUUCUGUGUUACCAGCAUUAAGUUGGGGACUCACAGGAGACUGCCGGGGUCAACUCGGAGGAAGGUGGGGAUGACGUCAAAUCAUCAUGCCCCUUAUGUCUUGGGCUGCACGCAUGCUACAAUGGCCGGUACAAAGUGCUGCGAAAUCGUAAGAUUUAGCGAAUCACAUAAAGCCGGUCUCAGUUCGGAUUGAGGUCUGCAACUCGACCUCAUGAAGUCGGAGUUGCUAGUAAUCGUAGAUCAGCAACGCUACGGUGAAUACGUUCCCGGGUCUUGUACACACCG
This 431-nucleotide ribosomal RNA is filed under the name uncultured bacterium. RNAcentral's name for it is "bacterial SSU rRNA". It matches the Rfam family "Bacterial small subunit ribosomal RNA", at positions 958 to 1392 of the family's 1533-position model. The record is from RNAcentral.